This 498-nucleotide ribosomal RNA is filed under the name uncultured Glomus. RNAcentral describes it as "SSU rRNA". It matches the Rfam family "Eukaryotic small subunit ribosomal RNA", at positions 569 to 1072 of the family's 1831-position model. Lineage: Eukaryota; Fungi; Glomeromycota; Glomeromycetes; Glomerales; Glomeraceae. The record is from RNAcentral.
AGCAGCCGCGGUAAUUCCAGCUCCAAUAGCGUAUAUUAAAGUUGUUGCAGUUAAAAAGCUCGUAGUUGAAUUUCGAGAUCAAAUUGUUGGUCGUGCCUCGGUACGUACUGGCAUUAUUGAUCUCUCCUUUCUGAAGAACCAUGAUGUCAUUAAUUUGGUGUCUUGGGGAAUCAGGACUGUUACUUUGAAAAAAUUAGAGUGUUUAAAGCAGGCUCACGCUUGAAUACAUUAGCAUGGAAUAAUGAAAUAGGACGUUUGAUUCUAUUUUGUUGGUUUCUAGGAUCGACGUAAUGAUUAAUAGGGAUAGUUGGGGGCAUUAGUAUUCAAUUGUCAGAGGUGAAAUUCUUGGAUUUAUUGAAGACUAACUACUGCGAAAGCAUUUGCCAAGGAUGUUUUCAUUAAUCAAGAACGAAAGUUAGGGGAUCGAAGACGAUCAGAUACCGUCGUAGUCUUAACCAUAAACUAUGCCGACUAGGGAUCGGAUGAUGUUAAUUUUUA